UACGUAGGUGGCAAGCGUUGUCCGGAAUUAUUGGGCGUAAAGCGCGCGCAGGCGGUCCUUUAAGUCUGAUGUGAAAGCCCACGGCUCAACCGUGGAGGGUCAUUGGAAACUGGCAGACUUGAGUGCAGAAGAGGAGAGUGGAAUUCCAUGUGUAGCGGUGAAAUGCGCAGAGAUAUGGAGGAACACCAGUGGCGAAGGCGGCUCUCUGGUCUGUAACUGACGCUGAGGCGCGAAAGCGUGGGGAGCAAACAGG
RNAcentral lists this unclassified non-coding RNA (253 nucleotides) under uncultured Bacillaceae bacterium. Its description in RNAcentral is "contains 16S-23S intergenic spacer region". It matches the Rfam family "Bacterial small subunit ribosomal RNA", at positions 524 to 776 of the family's 1533-position model. Lineage: Bacteria; Bacillati; Bacillota; Bacilli; Caryophanales; Bacillaceae. The record is from RNAcentral.